UACGUAGGGAGCCAGCGUUGUCCGGAUUUACUGGGCGUAAAGAGCGCGUAGGCGGUUUAGUAAGCGGAGGGUGAAAUCCCGGGGCUCAACUCCGGGGCUGCUCUCCGAACUGCUAGACUAGAGUACGGGAGAGGAUAGUGGAAUUCCUGGUGUAGCGGUGGAAUGCGUAAAUAUCAGGAGGAACACCCGUGGCGAAGGCUGCUAUCUGGAACGUUACUGACGCUGAGGCGCGAAAGCUAGGGGAGCGAACGGG
This 253-nucleotide ribosomal RNA is filed under the name uncultured bacterium. RNAcentral describes it as "partial 16S ribosomal RNA". It matches the Rfam family "Bacterial small subunit ribosomal RNA", at positions 524 to 776 of the family's 1533-position model. The record is from RNAcentral.